UCGAUUUAUUCAAAAUAUAAUAUCAUUAAAAUAAAUAUUUUAAUUUUCUUUCUAUAAAUUCUCAAAAUUCCACCUGGAAUUAUAAGUGACAAAAAAUACAAGUUAUACCUAAAUAACUGUAUAGUCUCAUAUCCCAUAAAUUAUUUUACAGUGUUCAAAUUUAGUUUAUACUUUCUAAUUAGAUAGAAUCCAUCCUGCAUCCUGAAAAAUGUAACUAUUUCUGGCUUUUAGGUCAUUCUACAAUCUCUGCUCUGGAGUUAAGAGUGUUGGUUUUUGUUAGUUAACCUCUAAUUAAGCUAUCUGAUCAGACCCCAGGAUUUAUUUUUAAUUGAAACAUCUAUUAGCGCCAUGGCAGAAUAAGAAGAGGGAAAGAAGCAAAUUGAUGAGUAUCUUCAAAGAAUUACAUUAGAGUCAGAGUAAAUGUUGAAUGGCAAGAUUGAAUUUUAAAGGUUUGCAAUUCUUGUUUAUCAAAGCUAAUGGAAGAAGAAAGAUGAGUCCGGAGCGAACAAGGAGACCUGACUGGAAAACUAAUGCUCAGGUGAAACUCCCAAAGCACUUCUGACAGGUAGAUUUUACAUAGUCGAAAAUUCAAGAAAAGUUCAUUGAAUGCCUGACAGAAGAAAAUGAUAAACUCAAAAUGAUUCCCCUGAUUUGUUCCAAGACUGCAAUGCCUUCGAUGGUAGAGAUUUUAACAUAAUUUAUUGGAACAUUCUCCUGUCAAUGGACAGUGUGAUUAUUUCCAAGCUUUCACUACUACAGAUAAACAUCACACUGACUAUUCUUAUAAAUAUAUUAUUUCACAGGUGUGAAACUGUCCCUGAAGUAUAAAGUCCUAGAAGUGCAAUUGCUGAGUUGAAGGGUAGGUAUGAUUUUAUGAUUAAAUUGCCCUCUGUAGAAGUUGUACCAAUUUAAACUUCAAUCAGUGUCUUCCAUAUUCUUGCCAACACAGUAACUUAUCAAAAUGUUCAGUCUUUGAUAACCUGAACUAAAGUGAUAUUUCUGUCUAGAUCUACUGUAUUUAUUUUUAAUUGUGAGUAAAGUUGGCAAAUUUUGAUGUAUUUAAAUCCCAAAUACAUUUGCUCUAGAUUCAACAGUGCCUGAUAUUGAAGCAGGAAGACUUGACUUCUUGUUUAAUGUUACAUACAGAUAUAUCUAAACAUGCAUAACUUUAUAUGAAUUGAUAAAUGAAAUUAUGUCCUGCAGAAUGUUUCUAAAAGGAGAGUCUUUAUCUUUUUGUUUUUAAUUGCAUCUCCUGUCAGCUAUCUUACUCCCCAUAAUAAAUUCCAUAACACUUCCAUAACACUACAAGUGUUGUAGAAUAAAUUCUACAACACUUUCUACAUCCUUUAAUAGGUCAUGCAUGCAAACAACCUUUAUUUAUCCUGUAUUUUCUUCCAUAUUACUCAAUAUUAUGCAAACAUGUUCAUUCUCUGCCUGCCUCCCUUAAUCAUAUAUAUAUAUGUACCCAUACAUGUAUAUACAUAUACACAUAUACAUAUAUGGUUUUUAAAAACUUUGGCCAUUGUGUAAUAAAUGGAAGCAUCCUGUACUUAUGAUUUUAUUUUUAGAUUUUUCACACAAAAUAUGGAAAUCUUCACUCAGUUGACAUGCCUACAAAUUAAUUUUUGAAGUAUUAUUGAAUAAUAUCCCAUUGUGGGGAUAAGCCAUUUUUUAAUCAACUAUAUCCCUUUUAAUGGCCAUUCAUAACAUAAUGGCCAUUAUAUUAUGUUUGCCAAUAUGAUUAAUGCCACAAUAAAUACCCUUGUACACAUAUCCUUACAUAUUUGUGCCUCUAAUUCUGAUAAAGAUUCCCAAGAAUAGGACUGUUAAAUCAAAUAUCUUAUUUUAUAUAGAUGUUGCCAGAAUUUUUCCAACAAGGCUAAAACAACUUUCGUUCUUACCAGAAAUAUAUGUGUUUUACUUUCUUUGUGCCCUAACAAUAUAUUAAUAAUAAUAUGGUAUUAAUAUUAAU
Non-coding RNA from Microcebus murinus (gray mouse lemur), 1972 nucleotides. The record is from RefSeq and is a predicted model, not a curated record. NCBI's taxonomy places the organism in Eukaryota, Metazoa, Chordata, Mammalia, Primates, Cheirogaleidae.